CCCACGCCGUUUCGGGAAAAACCCCCGGGGAAACGUUGGGGUUAAUACCGAAAAUUGGCCUUUGCCCCCAAUGGUGUUUUGGGUGGAAAAAUUUUUUCGCCUUUGGGAUGGGGCUGCGGGCCUUAUAAGCUUUUUUGGUUGGGGGUAGGGCUUCCCAAGGCGACGACCGGGUAGCCGGCCUGAAGAGGGGACCGGCCCACCUGAGGACUAAAGACGUGGCCCAGAUCUCCUACGGGAGGCAGGAGUGGGGGAAUUUGGCCCAAUGGGGGGAAAGCCUGAUGGCAGCGACCCCGCGUGAGGGGAAAGACGGGCCUUCGGGGUUGUAACCCCUUUUCAGUAGGGACGAAGGGGUAAGUGAGGGUACCUGCAGAAGAAGCGCCGGCCAACUACGUUCCCAGGAGCCCCGGUAAGAAGUAGGGCGCGAGCGUUUUUCCGGAUUUUAUUGGGCGUAAAGAGCUCGUAGGCGGCUUGUCGGGUCGACUGUGAAAAACCGAAGUUCAACUGCGGGGCCUGCAGUCGAUACGGGCAGGCUAGAGUUCGGUAGGGGAGACUGGAAUUCCUGGUGUAGCGGUGAAAUGCGCAGAUAUCAGGGAGGAACACCGGUGGGGAAGGCGGGUCUCUGGGCCGAUACUGACGCUGAGGAGCGAAAGCGUGGGGAGCGAACAGGAUUAGAUACCCUGGUAGUCCACGCUGUAAACGUUGGGCGCUAGGUGUGGGGGGCCUCUCCGGUUCCCUGUGCCGCCGCUAACGCAUUAAGCGCCCCGCCUGGGGAGUACGGCCGCAAGGCUAAAACUCAAAGGAAUUGACGGGGGGCCGCACAAGCGGCGGAGCAUGCGGAUUAAUUCGAUGCAACGCGAAGAACCUUACCUGGGUUUGACAUGGCCGCAAAACUGUCAGAGAUGGCAGGUUCUUCGGGGGCGGUCACAGGUGGUGCAUGGCUGUCGUCAGCUCGUGUCGUGAGAUGUUGGGUUAAGUCCCGCAACGAGCGCAACCCUCGUUCGAUGUUGCCAGCGCGUUAUGGCGGGGACUCAUCGAAGACUGCCGGGGUCAACUCGGAGGAAGGUGGGGAUGACGUCAAGUCAUCAUGCCCCUUAUGUCCAGGGCUUCACGCAUGCUACAAUGGCCGGUACAAUGGGCUGCGAUACCGUGAGGUGGAGCGAAUCCCAAAAAGCCGGUCUCAGUUCGGAUCGGGGUCUGCAACUCGACCCCGUGAAGUCGGAGUCGCUAGUAAUCGCAGAUCAGCAACGCUGCGGUGAAUACGUUCCCGGGCCUUGUACACACCUCCCGUCACGUCACGAAAGUCGGCAACACCCCGAGCACGGUGGCCCAACCCUUGUGGAGGGAGCCGUCGAAUGAUUGGAUUGAUGCCCCU
Molecule: ribosomal RNA, 1372 nt
Filed under: Micromonospora tulbaghiae
Lineage: Bacteria; Bacillati; Actinomycetota; Actinomycetes; Micromonosporales; Micromonosporaceae
Description: bacterial SSU rRNA
Rfam family: Bacterial small subunit ribosomal RNA
Source: RNAcentral